AGAGUUUGAUCCUGGCUCAGAUUGAACGCUGGCGGCAGGCCUAACACAUGCAAGUCGAGCGGUAACAUUUCUAGCUUGCUAGAAGAUGACGAGCGGCGGACGGGUGAGUAAUGCUUGGGAACAUGCCUUGAGGUGGGGGACAACCAUUGGAAACGAUGGCUAAUACCGCAUAAUGUCUACGGACCAAAGGGGGCUUCGGCUCUCGCCUUUAGAUUGGCCCAAGUGGGAUUAGCUAGUUGGUGAGGUAAGGGCUCACCAAGGCAACGAUCCCUAGCUGGUUUGAGAGGAUGAUCAGCCACACUGGAACUGAGACACGGUCCAGACUCCUACGGGAGGCAGCAGUGGGGAAUAUUGCACAAUGGGCGCAAGCCUGAUGCAGCCAUGCCGCGUGUGUGAAGAAGGCCUUCGGGUUGUAAAGCACUUUCAGUCAGGAGGAAAGGUUAGUAGUUAAUACCUGCUAGCUGUGACGUUACUGACAGAAGAAGCACCGGCUAACUCCGUGCCAGCAGCCGCGGUAAU
RNAcentral lists this ribosomal RNA (519 nucleotides) under Pseudoalteromonas sp. 155. RNAcentral's name for it is "bacterial SSU rRNA". It matches the Rfam family "Bacterial small subunit ribosomal RNA", at positions 8 to 524 of the family's 1533-position model. Lineage: Bacteria; Pseudomonadati; Pseudomonadota; Gammaproteobacteria; Alteromonadales; Pseudoalteromonadaceae. The record is from RNAcentral.